Molecule: non-coding RNA, 1799 nt
Organism: Ictidomys tridecemlineatus (thirteen-lined ground squirrel)
Lineage: Eukaryota; Metazoa; Chordata; Mammalia; Rodentia; Sciuridae
Source: RefSeq, a predicted model, not a curated record
CAAGAAGAGAUUAUACAAUCAGAAUGUCAUAGAAUGUCAACUACUCUGUCUCACACUAAAACCCCAGGUGUGAGACAGAGUAGUUGAUACAUAAGAUUUCUGACAACCAAUCUUAUGGAAUAUUUUGGAGAAGCACUUUGAACCUCCACUUGAGCCCCUACUGGUGGCUCAUUUGGCCUUGAGCCUUUUCAAAUGCAGUGCAUUUCCCAGCUCAGCCCCAGAAGGCAACAAAAAACUUUCUAGGACCCAGUUUGAGAUGCUCUCCCAAAGCACUCUGCCUCAUUUUCCUGAGUCAGUACUUACCAGUAGGCUUUUGUCAUCCUCAGUAUUUCCGUCCCCAGUCUGAAUAGUUGGGGUACUGCUGCAGCUCUCUGCUGGUGGCCUCAGAAGAUAGACAAGCUUUUCCCAGUAGCAGAAGAGGUCUUCUCGUACAUCUGAAGAGGGACAAAGCUGCAGAUAAAAAGUCCGGCCUGUGGCAAGCUUCAAACGUAGUUGCUGUUUCUCACGAUCGUGGAUGGAGAUCUUGACAAACUUCAAGGGAAGUAGCCUGGUGAGCUCUAGAGUCUUCGCAGACUUCCGUCCUCUCCCUUUAAUGGUCCGGCCACGUCUGGCAUGCUCUUCACAGACUUUAGCAGGUCUGGCCAGCAGCAUGACAUCAGGUAGUGGAAGGAUGGGGCUGGUGGAGGCGAUGCCCACUGUCACCAUUCGAACACGGUUGUGAACAUCAAUCACCUCUCCUUUUUUGCUAAUCUGGAUAAAAUCACUCUCAAACAUGGGUGCAUACUUGAAAAUGUCAUACUCUCCUCCCUUGUACAGUUGUCGUUGCAGGUCCCCCAUGGAGGUAUUGAACACACCCAUUGAACGGUAGCUGUGGGCUGUGUAGUAAGGUAACACACAUUCGCUACUCCUGGGUCUCUUUAUUCCAGACAUCUUUGCCAGCCACAAUUUGAGUCCCUAAGAGAGAAGAGGGAAUGAUGGCAACUGCCCAUCUCCCUGCAAGGCUUCUGCCUCUGUCUCUUCAAACCACCUUAUUUAUCCUGUCCUGUCCUUUGUGACCUGUCACCAUCACACACCCCUUUGUCCUCACCCCUGAGCAGCUACCCUCUCAAGGCUGGGUCAAUAGCCCGUCUGCAAAUAUACCACCACCUCCACAAGGGCAGGCUGAUCCUGCUAGGGAGGAAAGAAAAUCCAGUUCCACUAUUGAAAAGGCUGGCAGCCAUUUUGCUGUCAUGAAGUAAAACCUGCAGAAGCUUGAAGCUGGCCCAGAACUGAGGAGGUGGAAGGAGAAUGGAAGCUUGUAUCCACCAGAAGCCAAGCGACACAGACUUUAAAGAAUGACUCUGUGAGUCUCGUAUGAGUCUCAAAAAGUCUUGGAAAUAUAGGGACAGUGUCUAAAUCCCAUUUGGAGAAACAGGAUGCUGAUGAAGGCAUUGUGGAAAAGCUGCUUAUUUGGAGUCAGUGGAAGAAGGGGCUGUACUUGGAACAAGUGGUAUAUCCAUCAACAGCAGGGCAUGAAUGCCCUAAUCUUCUAGUAGUCAUGGGAGGGAAAAGUGGCACGUGGCUCUUUUUCAAGGAAAUUUCACCCAAGGCAACCUAGUGGGCAAAGGAAUCUAAAACAGAGUCAGAGGGCAGGUAGAGGUAGACCUGCAGAAGCCCAAUGACUGGAGGUUGGAUUCGUUGACCAGAUAGAGUGGUAUCUCUUCUACUGGGAACAGCUAUCAGAGCCCUCAAUGGAAAACUGCAAACAGAACACAUGACAGACAUUUCCCAUAAAAUAAAAAGCAAAUUUAUAUCCAUCA